CCUACGGGUGGCAGCAGUGAGGAAUAUUGGUCAAUGGACGAGAGUCUGAACCAGCCAAGUAGCGUGAAGGAUGACUGCCCUAUGGGUUGUAAACUUCUUUUAUAUGGGAAUAAAAUGUUCCACGUGUGGGAUUUUGUAUGUACCAUAUGAAUAAGGAUCGGCUAACUCCGUGCCAGCAGCCGCGGUAAUACGGAGGAUCCGAGCGUUAGCCGGAUUUAUUGGGUUUAAAGGGAGCGUAGGUGGAUUGUUAAGUCAGUUGUGAAAGUUUGUGGCUCAACCGUAAAAUUGCAGUUGAAACUGGCAGUCUUGAGUACAGUAGAGGUGAGCGGAAUUCGUGGUGUAGCGGUGAAAUGCUUAGAUAUCACGAAGAACUCCGAUUGCGAAGGCAGUUCACUGGACUGCAACUGACACUGAGGCUCGAAAGUGUGGGUAUCAAACAGGAUUAGAUACCCGUGUAGUC
Molecule: ribosomal RNA, 460 nt
Filed under: uncultured bacterium
Lineage: Bacteria
Description: partial 16S ribosomal RNA
Rfam family: Bacterial small subunit ribosomal RNA
Source: RNAcentral